This is a long non-coding RNA of Spodoptera litura, 1151 nucleotides long. RefSeq lists it as uncharacterized. NCBI's taxonomy places the organism in Eukaryota, Metazoa, Arthropoda, Insecta, Lepidoptera, Noctuidae. The record is from RefSeq and is a predicted model, not a curated record.
CCGUACAGGGGGCCAAUUCUCGAUUUUCGCCAUUUAUCUCGAGUUCGACAUUGUAAGUCUAUCUCUAUGUCUAUCAAAAAUAUCUCUAUCUCUACCAAAAAAUGUCGAAUUGCACAGAAAUCCGUAUUCUCAGUCAAAAUAGAAACAAAUGUCACGAAAAUGUCGAGUCGAGUAAAGAUAAUGUUACCAUUAUGCAGAAUCGCACGUUCCAUUUUAGGUAGUUAUGAGUGAAUGAAUGAUUUUGUCAUAAAACGUUCACUAAACCUAAUUAUUUAAGUUAAAACGGAACGUUUAGUGCAAAAAUAAUCAGUUUGAUAGUUGACUGUCUGUCAGUGUCAUAAUUUGCAUUUUUUUUCGGUUGUUUCAAAACUUUUGUGUUUACAAUAUUUACAUAACUCACUAGUGGGUUGUGCUGUUUUAUAUGUGAUAAUUUUGUAUUUUAACAUGGAGGGGAAAAAAUACCCCAGUCCACAACAAAAACAAUUACUCGUUCAACUCAUUGAAGCAGACAUGGAAUUGAGGGGAGGUAAAUUCUCCUACAGUUUCUCAAAGAAGAAGAUGCCAUCGUUAAACAGUUAAAAUAUGCUGUGGCCGGUGCCAAAAAAUCUUGGGUUGGUUGGCGCGAAAGUCGGCAAGACAAAAGCAAAAAUAAAACAAAAAUUAGCUACAAUUAGAAGACAAUCUAUGUUGACUGGUAGAGGUCCACCACCAGAACAAUGAAAUGAAAAGGAACAAUUGGUGCUUGCCAAAUUUUGUACAGCUGCACUUGUUGGCCACAUAGAUGCCCUUGAUUUAGCCACACCGAGUACUGCAAAAGUCGGCAUGUAUAUGGCUGCUCAAGAGACCUCUGGAUCUCGAGGCAAUUCUACUUUCAGUACUAUUUGAUGAUUUUAAUUGCAUAGACGAGUUAAUGAUCAAGAAACUGUUUACAAUCGAUUUAAUUGUAAAAAUCCUGAUCUUGGUUUACAUUUAAAGUUAUUUUUUAAAGAAUAUAAUAAUAAUUAUUAUUAUUAUGAGAAAGAUUAAGCUGUGAUUUUAUAAUUAGUCUGCUAACACUCUACCUCUAAGUUAUGUGAUUAUGUAGAGGUACAUACAUGCACCCAAAUGAUUGUUAAAUAUUUACAUUUAUGCCGUAAUGAUUGUUUUUUAUU